GCCAUGCACGGUGGCAUGUGCCUGUAAUCCCAGCUACUCGGGAGGCUGAGGUGGGAGGAUCGCUUGAGCCCAGGAGUUCUGGGCUGUAGUGAGCUAUGCCGAUCAGAUGUCUGCACUAACUUCAGCAUCAAUAUGGUGACCUCCCAGGAGCAGGGUACCACCAGGUUGCCUAAGGAGGAGUGAACCGGCCCAGGUCAAAAACGGAGCAGGUCAAAACUCCCGUGCUGCCGGGCACGGUGGCUCACGCCUGUAAUCCCAGCACUUUGGGAGGCCGAGGCGGGUGGAUCACGAGGUCAAGAGAUCGAGAGCAUCCUGGUCAACAUGGUGAAACCCCGUCUCU
Molecule: unclassified non-coding RNA, 340 nt
Organism: Aotus nancymaae (Ma's night monkey)
Lineage: Eukaryota; Metazoa; Chordata; Mammalia; Primates; Aotidae
Rfam family: Metazoan signal recognition particle RNA
About the family: The signal recognition particle (SRP) is a universally conserved ribonucleoprotein. It is involved in the co-translational targeting of proteins to membranes.
Source: Ensembl